GUCAAGUAAGAAUACCCGCUGAACUUAAGCAUAUCAAUAAGCGGAGGAAAAGAAACUAACUAGGAUUCCCUUAGUAACGGCGAGUGAACUGGGAAGAGCUCAAAUUUUAAAUCACUUUGGUGAAUUGUAAUUUGAAGAAAGUGUUUUGACUUUUCAGUUUAAUCUAAAUCCUUUGGGAUGAGGUAUCAUAGAGGGUGAGAAUCCCGUUUGUGAUUAAACCUCGGAUUGCACUAAUUCACUUUCUAAGAGCCGAGUUGUUUGGGAUUGCAGCUCUAAAUGGGUGGUAAAUUUCACCUAAGGCUAAAUAUAUGCAAGAGACCGAUAACGAACAAGUACCGUGAGGGAAAGAUGAAAAGAACUUUGAAAAGAGAGUUAAACAGUACGUGAAAUUGUUGAAAGGGAAACGAUUGAAGUCAGUCAUGCUAGUGGGGAAUCAACUUGGUGGUUUUUCCUCCUCGUGUACUUCCUUGCUCGGCAGGUUAGCAUCAAUUUCGGUUGUCAUCAAAUAAUUGGGGGAAUGUGUCUUUCUUCGGGAAGUGUUUAUAGACCCUGGUUGAUGUGGCGACUGGGAUUGAGGAUUGCAGCGGAUGCCUCUGGCUAGUCACCUGUCUACUGACGGUCACCUCGCUUUCGACAGCUUGCUAACGAUGGUGAGAUUUGGCUGUCUAGUAUUCAGAGAUCACAUAAAUUCGCUAAGGAUGCUGACGUAAUGGCUUUAAACGACCCGUCUUGAAACACGGACCAAGGAGUCUAACAUAUGUGCGAGUGUU
This 770-nucleotide ribosomal RNA is filed under the name uncultured Acaulosporaceae. RNAcentral's name for it is "eukaryotic LSU rRNA". It matches the Rfam family "Eukaryotic large subunit ribosomal RNA", at positions 11 to 694 of the family's 3401-position model. The record is from RNAcentral. Lineage: Eukaryota; Fungi; Glomeromycota; Glomeromycetes; Diversisporales; Acaulosporaceae.